UGAGGAACUUGCCCAUGAGCGGGGGACAACAUUCGGAAACGGAUGCUAAUACCCCAUAGGUGGAUUGGUCGCAUGACGAAUUCAUUAAAGGUGGCUCUGCUACCACUCAUGGAUAGCCUCGCGGCGUAUUAGCUAGUUGGUAAGGUAAUGGUUUACCAAGGCAUUGAUACGUAGCCGACUUGAGAGGGUGAUCGGCCACACUGGGACUGAGACACGGCCCAG
RNAcentral lists this ribosomal RNA (222 nucleotides) under uncultured Carnobacteriaceae bacterium. RNAcentral's name for it is "partial 16S ribosomal RNA". It matches the Rfam family "Bacterial small subunit ribosomal RNA", at positions 118 to 334 of the family's 1533-position model. Lineage: Bacteria; Bacillati; Bacillota; Bacilli; Lactobacillales; Carnobacteriaceae. The record is from RNAcentral.